AUAGGGAAUAUUGGGCAAUGGGCGAAAGCCUGACCCAGCCAUGCCGCGUGAGCGAUGACGGUCCUCGAGAUUGUAAAGCUCUUUUCUGAGGAAAGAACAUCCGGGGUAGGAAAUGACCCCGGCUUGACGGUACCUCAGGAAUAAGGAACGGCUAACUCCGUGCCAGCAGCCGCGGUAAUACGGAGGUUCCAAGCGUUGUUCGGAAUUACUGGGCGUAAAGGGAGCGCAGGCGGGCAAGUCAGUCUGAAGUGAAAUCCCGGGGCUCAACCUCGGACUUGCUUCGGAUACUGCUUGUCUUGAGUUCGUGAUAGGAAGACGGAAUUCAGGGUGUAGCGGUGAAAUGCACAGAUAUCCUGAGGAACACCGGUGGCGAAAGCGGUCUUCUGGCGCGAAACUGACGCUGAGGCUCGAAAGCGUGGGUAGCAAACGGGAUUAGAUACCCUGGUAGUCC
This 451-nucleotide ribosomal RNA is filed under the name uncultured bacterium. RNAcentral's name for it is "partial 16S ribosomal RNA". It matches the Rfam family "Bacterial small subunit ribosomal RNA", at positions 354 to 796 of the family's 1533-position model. The record is from RNAcentral.